This is a long non-coding RNA of Felis catus (domestic cat), 3931 nucleotides long. RefSeq lists it as uncharacterized. Lineage: Eukaryota; Metazoa; Chordata; Mammalia; Carnivora; Felidae. The record is from RefSeq and is a predicted model, not a curated record. The transcript has 3 exons.
CGACUGAGCCACCCAAGCGCCCCAAUAUUUAUUUUUUUAAAGAGCAUAAAUUUCAACUCCUAGAGUUUAGGGCUGUGACUUAGUUCUGCCACUGCCAGAAUUAAUAAGUAAUUCAUCAACUCUUCCUGAGCCUCCGCUUCCCAGAUAAAAUCGUGGUUGUCACAUAAACCCCCUGCACUGUCACCACCACAUAUGUUGAAUAGUGGAAGAGCGCUGUUAGCUGGUAAGGGCCGGCAAGACACCACGUAGAUCUAACAUCUUGCUGUUUUCACAGUGAAGUAAGUGGAAUGAACAGGGCUCUCGUUUGAGGACAAAGGAAACACAGAAGCCAGAACCAGAGAUAACUUCUAGCUCACCUGGAACCGCUGUUACACUUCACUUCAUCACCCAGGACACGACAGACCGAAGCCACCUUCCUGAACAUUCGCUUACCCUCUGAGAGACUUCUGAUUAUGACCAUAAAGGUGGUAAAGAAAAAAAAAUGGACCAAUACCAAACUGGGAAAUCCUUACAGCAACUCCGAUGGUAACACUGACACCAGGUAAGUGUGCGAUCGACAUUCACUGACUGCUAACAGUGUGUGAAGCACAGGACACAGGAGAGCUGUCCAGGAAAACCUUCCAGGCAGCUCCAUGUCUGAGCCAGGCAACUGUUAAUGUCUUGCUUUACUAACACUUUAUGGUUUAAGUUAAAGCUCUUUCAUCUUCAAAACAGCUCUACAAAUCAGUGAGGGACAGGGGCUUUGGUUCCUUAACCUAGGAGAAAACUCAGGAAGCCGAAGGGACUCAUCUCAGGCAUCCCUGGGAUGGUUGGUCCCCUGGCUGAGGAAGUGAUCAGACACAAAGACACAGCACCACGGAACUGGAAACAAGCUUCCCCAUGAAAUCAGCUUUUCGAAUGGAAUGAGACAAGUAUCGGAAGCUCUAAACUGAGGCUUUGAUGCAUCUGUGCUGCCGGCAACAUCCACAAAUUAGCUCUUAGCCAGCCGAGGGGCUACCCUUUGCCUGUGAUGACGGAAGUUUGCAUCACUCACGUGAGUACCCAUAAGCAACAGGGCAGUUGAUGCUCUGUAUCCGUUGAUGGCCCUGUCUUUUCACCCAGUGAUAGCCCUGGCACCUUCAACAGCGACACAACUCGGAAACUCACUGUCUUGGUUAUGAUGAAGCCAAAGAAUCCGUUCUUUGGCAUAAGAAAAUAAACUCAACAUGACAUAAAACAAAGAAACAAUUUGUCAGCAGGUACACUGUUCUCCAUCACAGAGACAGCGAAGCUGAGAAGGGGCCGCGGGGCCAGAGGCAGACGGCUGAAGUACCUGGAAACUGCAGAAAACGAACAAGAGACAGCUAACCACAUUGGAAACCGAGAUGAGGCUUUUGCAAGAGUUGACGAUGGAGGCCUGAACCAGAGUGCUGGUGGUGAAGAUAAUAAGAAGCGAUCAUGUUUUUGGGUCUGUAUUUUCAAGGAAGCACCAACAGGAUAUACUGGUAGAUUUGAUACAGAAUGUGAGUGAUAUGAAGAAGUCAGGAACAUCCCAAGGUUUGGGGCAGGGGCCACCAGAAGAAUGUAGGACCAUUUCCUGAGAUAGGAAGACUAGAGACACAGUCUAUGGCAUUCCAAAUGGUGAAUGGAGAGGUUUUUGCUUUUUGUUUUAUUAAUAUGUUUGACAAACAGGUAAAGAAGUCAAACAGAUAAUGAGCAUGAAAAUCUGGAGUUCAAACACAAGAUCAAGGGUAAAGAUGUAACUGUGGGAGCAUCAGCAUUUGGGAUGAUGUCUAAGGUCAUGAACAGAGAUGAGGCCAUCCAGAGAACGAGUAUAGAGAACAGAAGUAGGAGGCAAAGAAGCCCAAGAAGAAAUGACUAGAAAAUAAGAGAAGGAAAGCAAGAAGAAAGAAAUCAACUAAGUUAAAUGCUCACGCUAGAUCAAAGAACAAGAACUGAUUACUGGAUUUACCAAUGUAAAGUUCAUUAACAUUCUUGGCAAGGGCUGUUCUGGUGGAGCUGGAAAUAAGAAAGGGCAAAAGCUGGAAGAGGGUGGGUUUAAGAGAAAAUGGAAGGACAGCAGACAGAGUCAGCUGGUACAGAAAACAUAUUCAUUCAAGUAGCUGUUUUAAAAGGAAACAGAGACCUGUAACAUUAGCUAGCCAAAGGAAACUUUUGUUUUUUGUUUUUGUUUUUUCAAGUUGGGAGAUACUCAGGGGGAAGCUGAGUGAAGAAUAUAUGUAAAUUCUCUGUACUACUUUUUUUAAAGUAAACUCUAUCCCCAACGUGGGGCUCAAACUCAUGACUGUGAGAUCAAGCAUCGCAUGCUUUACCGACUGAGCCAGCCAGGCACCGCACUCUACACUAUUUUUUAAGUUUAAAAUUACUUUAAAAUAAAACUCUUUUUAAAAGAUGGGAAGUAUUACUUCAUUUAUUCAAGAAAUACAUGCUGACCAACUACCAUGAUCAGGGUAGUGUUCUAUGUGCUAGGGCUCCCCAGUUAUCAAAAAAACCUGCCAAAUCCUUUCUCCUGUUUGGAUACUGGUAGAAAUAAUCAACAAAGAGGGAUGACCUGGUGAGGAAAUGGAACCCUGUGUGUGAGACUGGGCCCCUGCGCACACCCACCGUCACAGAGAGGGUCCUGUCGAUGGGUAGAGAUCAGGAAUACACCCACCAGACAACAGUGGGAGCACGAGGACGCCUCCCCUGACUGUCUUUUUCUUCAAUGACCAGGACACAAGGCUGUCAGUGGAGAGGGAGGGUGGGAAAUGGAUGUUAAGAGACGUCUGAGGGAAAAAGGAGUGGAACUGAGUGGUAUGGAAGAACAGACAGGAGUCUGUUUAGUAGGAUUGUGGGGCAGGCCUUAGGGCUCACCGGAGGUUAGCAGUCAUGAAUGUGAAGUCAGACCAGUGAGCAUGUCGUGCCUUUCUCUAGCCACAUUCAACCACUCAGGCACAAGCAUGAGGUAGGCACAAAGUUAGUUGAACCAGGGUUGGGGUUUUGCCAGGCAAACACAACAUAAGGCAGUGGAGGCUAUAGUUACAAAGGAAUAGUUAUAACAAUACUACAAAAUAAAUGUAGAGGUAUCUAGAGACAGAUCACAAUUAAAAUCUGUAAAGGACAAAAAAAAGAAAAAAAAAAAGAAAAAAAAAGUUGGUAGAACAAUCCUCAUUGGUGUCCUCAAACAUAAAGGGUGUAAUGAAGUUAAAAAAGAAAAUCAGGGCCAAACGGUCAAAAUAUUUAAUGCAUCAUUAGCAUCCUUAAGACUGUGAAAUUAUACUAUAAGCAAACAAGUUUCAAAUUAUUUAACCUAGCAUUUCCUAAAGAUACUUAACUAUGAAACACUGCUUUAGUGGGCAAUCCAUUAACAUCACGUGGAACACCAGUGUUCUGUAGAACACACUUUGGAAAACAGUGGUCUAAUGGAUGCCAAAGAGUCCAGUGCUGCUCUUUUAACCAGAUCUGUUGAGUCUACCCUGAAAGAUCAGCAAGUCUCAACACAGCCCUCUGGAUGGAAAACUAACAGAUAGAAAGCCAGAAAGAUAACACAGUGGUUAGAGUUUCUGGUGAAUAAAAAACAUCUUAUGACUAGUGAAAAACAAAGAACAUUCUAAAAAAUGCUCUAGGUGAAUGGGAUAUAGUUACCUCUUUCAAACCAACUUACACAUUAGUAGCCCUGAACAGUAAGUAACAAGUGAGAUGAGAUAGCUCCAAUUUAAUGUUGAUUUUUCUCGGAAUUAUUUCACUGAAAAAUAUCUUUAAAUAUUUAUAAAGGUUUCUUCUUUCCUCUCCCUUUAUUCACUUGUUCUCUCCUACCACCCUUCCUCACACUAUUAUUUUUCUUAAUCUAUGUAUUAGGGUUAUGUGUGUCUGUGUAUGUCAUUAUUUUAGAAAUGUGAAAGGAAAGCAAGCACUGCUAGGUCAAUGCAAAGUUCAUACAGCAAUUGGUACA